UUCGAAGGGGGCUAGCGUUGCUCGGAAUGACUGGGCGUAAAGGGCACGUAGGCGGCUCGGCAAAUCGGUCGUGGAAUCCCGACGCUUACCGUCGGAACGGCGGCCGAAAAUACCGGGCUAGAGGGCGUGAGGGGUCACUGGAACUCCUGGUGAAGCGGUGAAAUGCGUAGAUAUCAGGAGGAACGCCGGAGGCGAAAGCGAGUGACUGGCGCGUUCCUGACGCUGAGGUGCGAAAGCUAGGGGAGCAAACAGG
Molecule: ribosomal RNA, 253 nt
Filed under: uncultured bacterium
Lineage: Bacteria
Description: partial 16S ribosomal RNA
Rfam family: Bacterial small subunit ribosomal RNA
Source: RNAcentral